RNAcentral lists this ribosomal RNA (430 nucleotides) under Pseudomonadota bacterium. RNAcentral describes it as "Proteobacteria bacterium partial 16S ribosomal RNA". It matches the Rfam family "Bacterial small subunit ribosomal RNA", at positions 355 to 776 of the family's 1533-position model. Lineage: Bacteria; Pseudomonadati; Pseudomonadota. The record is from RNAcentral.
UGGGGAAUAUUGGACAAUGGGGGGAACCCUGAUCCAGCCAUGCCGCGUGUGUGAAGAAGGCCUUAUGGUUGUAAAGCACUUUAAGCGAGGAGGAGGGUACUGGUAUUAAUACUACCAGCUACUGGACGUUACUCGCAGAAUAAGCACCGGCUAACUCUGUGCCAGCAGCCGCGGUAAUACAGAGGGUGCGAGCGUUAAUCGGAUUUACUGGGCGUAAAGCGUGCGUAGGCGGCUAAUUGAGUCGGAUGUGAAAUCCCCGAGCUUAACUUGGGAACUGCAUUCGAUACUGGUUAGCUAGAGUGUGGGAGAGGAUGGUAGAAUUCCAGGUGUAGCGGUGAAAUGCGUAGAGAUCUGGAGGAAUACCGAUGGCGAAGGCAGCCAUCUGGCCUAACACUGACGCUGAGGUACGAAAGCAUGGGGAGCAAACAGG